GGGGCUGGGGCUCAGUGGUAGAGCACUUGCCCGACACACAGGAAGCCCUGGGUUCGAUCCUCAGCACCA
RNAcentral lists this transfer RNA (69 nucleotides) under Ictidomys tridecemlineatus (thirteen-lined ground squirrel). Its description in RNAcentral is "Spermophilus tridecemlineatus (thirteen-lined ground squirrel) tRNA". It matches the Rfam family "tRNA". Rfam says of the family: Transfer RNA (tRNA) molecules are approximately 80 nucleotides in length. Their secondary structure includes four short double-helical elements and three loops (D, anti-codon, and T loops). Further hydrogen bonds mediate the characteristic L-shaped molecular structure. tRNAs have two regions of fundamental functional importance: the anti-codon, which is responsible for specific mRNA codon recognition, and the 3' end, to which the tRNAs corresponding amino acid is attached (by aminoacyl-tRNA synthetases). tRNAs cope with the degeneracy of the genetic code in two manners: having more than one tRNA (with a specific anti-codon) for a particular amino acid; and 'wobble' base-pairing, i.e. permitting non-standard base-pairing at the 3rd anti-codon position. Lineage: Eukaryota; Metazoa; Chordata; Mammalia; Rodentia; Sciuridae. The record is from Rfam by way of RNAcentral.